CAAAAUUCAAAAAAACUCACUCUGAUUCCCUGCUCCACUACCUCCCCACUCCCUAAAUCUCUCUCACCAUAACAAACUCCAACGUCUCUCAGCACAACACGCAUAAAGGCACUGUUCACGCUCCCUCUCUCACAAUUCACUCACUCUCAUCAUCACUCACUAUUCACCCUAAAAAUUCUCUCACAAAAAUACCCACCUCACCGUUCCCUCAUUCGCUCACUUCACACUCUCAUCAACACACAAACGCUCAGAAUUCUCUCUGAACUCACUCACUACUCACUACCCUCCUUCAAUCUACAAACCCAAAUCCGCUGUUUCGCUCAAGCUACCACAAUCGCCACCGUCUAAACCAACCUACCGAAAAACCCCUUUUCACUCUCUGCGAAAAUCGCUUCAAACCCAUCACAACUCAACCGCUGCCGGAAAUCUCCCUCUCCGUCAUAACCCGCGACCCCACCGCCAAAAAUCUUCCGCUUCAACCACCGUCGACAGUUACAACAACAACUGCUCCAACGGCGACGUCUCUGUUGCCGACGCUUUGUGGAAAAGUCAUGAUGUUUAUUGUUUUGAAUGUUUGACAUUUAUUCUUAUUUUACAGGUCGAUUCGUUUCGACGAUUUCGGUCUCGCAAACGGCAAAGGCAGUUUUUUUGUUCAUAGAUUCAAAAUCGAAGCAGGGACAGGCAAGUUUCGCUCAGGCUUGUGGAUUGGCUGGAAAGCUCACCACUUGUUUCGACCGUCCAAAGCCACUCAGCAAAAACCGUAUCACCGAAACGCCGCCGCCACGACUCAAAGAAACAAUACGAGCUUCGUCGUCAGCAAAACGAUAAGGCAUUGACAGGCCCCGUCCCAUACCAGUCUGUGGUAGCAACGCAAAGAAAGUACUCUUAACUCGGUUGGUUUCCGCACCCGUUGUCUGAUUUCUUUUGUUGAUGUUUACUGGUUUAUUUCUGUCAAAGUUUUGCUCAAACCCGGUUGUUUUCCUGAGAAUACUUUAAUCACAUAAUUAAUUUGGGUGUCUUCGAUUUCAAUUUCUCAUUUAGUUUCCCUCUGUUUGUUGCUGAAGAUUUAAUACCAGGUUGUUGAAUGUAUGAACAAUGUAUGUGCUGCAAAGAUGUUAUAAAUUUCAUUAUCAUAUGCUAUAAUUUGUUUAUCCAAAAAGCUGUUCAUCUCCGACUUGGCGUGUCUGUUGUUGCACUGUUAUUGUGGAUUUAUGAUUCUGGAUUUGCUGUAAUAAUCUUCAUAAAAGUGAACGUAUGUUGUUGUGUUGAGUGAUUGGGUUAAUUACGUUCUCGUUACAAUCUUGUUAGAAUCAUAGUUUUUUAGAAUUAAGGUGAUGACCAUCGGCUUUGCGCUUCUGGAUGUUUCAAUUCCGGAUUUUUUAUUACGAUUUUGGAAUCUUGUUUCGAUUAACAAACGGAGCGAGUAUUCUUGGUUUGUAGGCGUCAAUGAUUUUGAUAAUGUUUUAGUUGGCCAGUUUGUUGCUAAAUAGGAGCAGGUUCUGUUUGUAGCAUCUGUUAGUAGUGUUGAUUUUUUUUUUAUAUACAUAUUAAUACCUGGAUUAAGGAAAGGUACUGGAAGUUCCUUCUUUAAAUCUCUCUUGUGGUAAUUAUUAUCGUACUCUAACCAUUACACUCAUUUGUUUAGGAAAUAUUUCAAAUCAGUUUAAAAGUAUAGGCUAGGCUAACUUAUAUAUUUUAGUAACUUUGGUUUCUAAUUCUUGUUGUAGCUUACCUGUCAAAGAAGAUAGUUGUUAAGUCUUAUCAUUGAUUCAUUACAAGGUUUUAAUAUUUAAAUUAAAUUUAUGUAGAAUGUUCUAAUCCUUUCAACAUUUUCUUUCUUUUUUUUGAGAUGAUAUGCUUUCAAGUUAAGGAAUGAUAAUAGGUUAGGCUUAAAAGUCCA
Molecule: long non-coding RNA, 1900 nt
Organism: Lathyrus oleraceus (garden pea)
Lineage: Eukaryota; Viridiplantae; Streptophyta; Magnoliopsida; Fabales; Fabaceae
Exons: 2
Source: RefSeq, a predicted model, not a curated record